This 251-nucleotide ribosomal RNA is filed under the name uncultured prokaryote. Its description in RNAcentral is "partial 16S rRNA". It matches the Rfam family "Bacterial small subunit ribosomal RNA", at positions 525 to 775 of the family's 1533-position model. The record is from RNAcentral.
ACGUAUGGGGCGAGCGUUGUUCGGAAUUACUGGGCGUAAAGGGCGUCUAGGCGGUGGAUUAAGCUAGAUGUGAAAGACAUGGGCUUAACCCGGGGAUUGCGUUUAAAACUGGUUCUCUUGAGUUACGGAGAGGAAGGUAGAAUUCCUGGUGUAGCGGUGAAAUGCGUAGAUAUCUGGAAGAACACCGGUGGCGAAGGCAGCUCUCUGGCCUAGAACUGACGCUGAAGCGCGAAAGUGUGGGGAUCGAACAG